RNAcentral lists this ribosomal RNA (405 nucleotides) under uncultured bacterium. RNAcentral describes it as "bacterial SSU rRNA". It matches the Rfam family "Bacterial small subunit ribosomal RNA", at positions 355 to 776 of the family's 1533-position model. The record is from RNAcentral.
UGGGGAAUAUUGGGCAAUGGAGGGAACUCUGACCCAGCAACGCCGCGUGAAGGAUGAAGGUUUUCGGAUUGUAAACUUCUGUCGCGAGGGACGAAGAAUGACGGUACCUCGUAAGAAAGCCCCGGCUAACUACGUGCCAGCAGCCGCGGUAAUACGUAGGGGGCGAGCGUUGUCCGGAAUGACUGGGCGUAAAGGGAGUGUAGGCGGCUUUUUAAGUUAUAUGUGAAAUCCCGCGGCUUAACCGCGGAACUGCAUAUAAAACUGGGGAGCUGGAGUGCAGUAGAGGUAAGUGGAAUUCCUAGUGUAGCGGUGGAAUGCGUAGAUAUUAGGAAGAACACCGGAGGCGAAGGCGGCUUACUGGACUGUAACUGACGCUGAGGCUCGAAAGCGUGGGGAGCAAACAGG